Molecule: unclassified non-coding RNA, 337 nt
Filed under: soil metagenome
Description: partial contains 5.8S ribosomal RNA, internal transcribed spacer 2, and large subunit ribosomal RNA
Rfam family: 5.8S ribosomal RNA (bases 1-120)
Source: RNAcentral
GAUGAAGAACGUAGCGAAAUGCGAUAAGUAAUGUGAAUUGCAGAAUUCAGUGAAUCAUCGAAUCUUUGAACGCACAUUGCGCCCCUUGGUAUUCCGAGGGGCAUGCCUGUUCGAGCGUCAUUACACCACUCAAGCUAUGCUUGGUAUUGGGCGUCGUCCUUAGUUGGGCGCGCCUUAAAGACCUCGGCGAGGCCACUCCGGCUUUAGGCGUAGUAGAAUUUAUUCGAACGUCCGUCAAAGGAGAGGAACUCUGCCGACUGAAACCUUUAUUUUUCUAGGUUGACCUCGGAUCAGGUAGGGAUACCCGCUGAACUUAAGCAUAUCAAUAAGCGGAGGA